Molecule: ribosomal RNA, 301 nt
Filed under: uncultured bacterium
Lineage: Bacteria
Description: partial 16S ribosomal RNA
Rfam family: Bacterial small subunit ribosomal RNA
Source: RNAcentral
CAGUAGCCGCGGUAAUACGGAGGGGGCUAGCGUUGUUCGGAAUUACUGGGCGUAAAGCGCACGUAGGCGGCUUGGUAAGUUAGAGGUGAAAGCCCGGAGCUCAACUCCGGAAUUGCCUUUAAGACUGCCGAGCUAGCAGGUGAGAGAGGUAAGUGGAAUUCCGAGUGUAGAGGUGAAAUUCGUAGAUAUUCGGAAGAACACCAGUGGCGAAGGCGGCUUACUGGCUCAUACUGGACGCUGAGGUGCGAAAGCGUGGGGAGCAAACAGGAUUAGAUACCUGAGUAGUCCCUGUCUCUUAUAC